GACGAACGCUGGCGGCGUGCUUAACACAUGCAAGUCGAACGGACAGGCCCUGCUUUUGUGGGGUGCUCGAGUGGCGAACGCGUGAGUAACACGUGAGUAACCUGUCCUUGACUUUGUGAUAACUUUAGGAAACUGGGGCUAAUACCGGAUAGGAGCUCCUGCUGCAUGGUGGGGGUUGGAAAGUUUCGGCGGUUGGGGAUGGACUCGCGGCUUAUCAGCUUGUUGGUGUGGUAGUGGCUUACCAAGGCUUUGACGGGUAGGCCGCCUGAGAGGGUGACCAGCCACAUUGGGACUGAGGGACGGCGCAGACGCGUACGGGAGGCAGCAGUGGAGAGUAUUGCACAAUGGGCGGAAGCGUGAUGCAGCAACGCCGCGUGCGGAAUGCCGGCCUUCUGGGUAUAAACCGCUUUCGCCUUUGACAAGGCGUGAGUGACGGUAAUGGAUAAGAAAGCACCGGCUAACUACGUG
Molecule: ribosomal RNA, 468 nt
Filed under: uncultured bacterium
Lineage: Bacteria
Description: partial 16S ribosomal RNA
Rfam family: Bacterial small subunit ribosomal RNA
Source: RNAcentral